This 72-nucleotide transfer RNA is filed under the name Camelus ferus (Wild Bactrian camel). It matches the Rfam family "tRNA". Rfam says of the family: Transfer RNA (tRNA) molecules are approximately 80 nucleotides in length. Their secondary structure includes four short double-helical elements and three loops (D, anti-codon, and T loops). Lineage: Eukaryota; Metazoa; Chordata; Mammalia; Artiodactyla; Camelidae. The record is from Rfam by way of RNAcentral.
GAGGGUAUAGCUCAGUGGUAGAGAGUGUGCUUAGCAUGUAUGAGGUCCUGGUUUCAAUCCCCAGUACCUCCA